CUUUGGAACACUUCAUGCUCUGUUAUAUUCUUAAAGCCUUACUAUUAAGAUUAAAAUUUCUAUUCUGCCACUUAACAGGUAUGUGAAUAUGGACAAGCCACUUAACCUCUCCAUCCUCUAGCUUCCUUAUCUCUCAUACAAAGGAAGUGCUGCCCUUGCACAACCCCACUGCUACACUGUGUAAAAAGAGCAUGAAACCAGAUAAACCACAGGAAUUCUUCUCGUUUUCUCAUUUGUGAUCAAAGAAAAUAACUAAAAGAGUGUCAGAAAAAUCUUCAUGUAAAUUAUGAACUUCCUCUGGAUUUUCCUCCUUUGGCCUGGUUACUCUCCACUAGUCUGUCAGAUUGCUGAUCCAUUCUUCAGCAUCCUUUACUCUGGUGAUUCCCUCUGA
This 391-nucleotide long non-coding RNA is filed under the name Mustela putorius furo (domestic ferret). RNAcentral describes it as "lncRNA (ENSMPUG00000025236.1)". The record is from RNAcentral. Lineage: Eukaryota; Metazoa; Chordata; Mammalia; Carnivora; Mustelidae.